UACGGAGGGAGCUAGCGUUGUUCGGAAUUACUGGGCGUAAAGCGCACGUAGGCGGCUUCUUAAGUCGGUGGUGAAAUCCUGGAGCUCAACUCCAGAACUGCCUUCGAAACUGAGAAGCUCGAGUCCGGGAGAGGUGAGUGGAACUGCGAGUGUAGAGGUGAAAUUCGUAGAUAUUCGCAAGAACACCAGUGGCGAAGGCGGCUCACUGGCCCAAUACUGACGCUGAGGAGCGAAAGCGUGGGGAGCAAACAGG
Molecule: ribosomal RNA, 253 nt
Filed under: uncultured bacterium
Lineage: Bacteria
Description: partial 16S ribosomal RNA
Rfam family: Bacterial small subunit ribosomal RNA
Source: RNAcentral